UCACACAGCAGACAGGUGGCAGAGCUGGAAUUAGAACCCAGGUCCUCUGAGUUCCAGGCCCUUGCCGGUGACAGGAGAUCCCUAUUGGAAUUGGGGGUUCACAAUUGGUAUUCAAACUGCAUUGCAAGUAGUCCUCGAACAAGCCAGUUUUCAAAACCAAUAAGUGCAAGUCAAAAUGUUAAGUUGGCAUUUUUUUUUCCCCAGAUGAACAAUGUUAUAGAUGGGAUGGCCUAUUUUUACCAAAAUUACCCAGAGUUGUAUACUCAGAGGAGAAAUAUAGCUCUUAUUGUAUGCUACUUUUAGAGAGGUACUGUAAUUGAAAACUAUUAAGUGCACUAACCAAUGCCCUUAACCUUGCAGAAAUAAAAUAUGUUGCCCAUCCCUGGUGACUCCACCUGGCCUUCAGGAAAGGAUCCUGUGCCAAUGGCAGCUUGAAAAUUUGGGGGAGGAGCUUGUUUUUCAGAAAUCCAUACAUUCCCAACCUCAGAUUCCAAGUCUCAAAAGCCUCGCUCAAAUGACAAGGUUAAAAGGAGAAUGGAUUUUAGAGUAAAAGUUGACCAUUCUACUAUUGAGGGGAAACAUGAGAAGCACAGAAGUUUAGCU
Long non-coding RNA from Ornithorhynchus anatinus (platypus), 603 nucleotides. RefSeq lists it as uncharacterized. The record is from RefSeq and is a predicted model, not a curated record. The transcript is spliced from 3 exons. NCBI's taxonomy places the organism in Eukaryota, Metazoa, Chordata, Mammalia, Monotremata, Ornithorhynchidae.